UACGUAGGGCGCAAGCGUUAUCCGGAAUUAUUGGGCGUAAAGAGCUCGUAGGCGGUUUGUCGCGUCUGCCGUGAAAGUCCGGGGCUCAACUCCGGAUCUGCGGUGGGUACGGGCAGACUAGAGUGAUGUAGGGGAGACUGGAAUUCCUGGUGUAGCGGUGAAAUGCGCAGAUAUCAGGAGGAACACCGAUGGCGAAGGCGGCUUCCUGGCCUGCAACUGACGCUGAGACGCGAAAGCGUGGGGAGCGAACCGG
Molecule: ribosomal RNA, 253 nt
Filed under: uncultured bacterium
Lineage: Bacteria
Description: partial 16S ribosomal RNA
Rfam family: Bacterial small subunit ribosomal RNA
Source: RNAcentral